CUACGGGGCGCAGCAGUGAGGAAUAUUGCACAAUGGGGGGAACCCUGAUGCAGCAACGCCGCGUGGAGGAUGACGCAUUUCGGUGUGUAAACUCCUUUUAUAUGUCAAGAAAAUGACGGUAGCAUAUGAAUAAGCACCGGCUAACUCCGUGCCAGCAGCCGCGGUAAUACGGAGGGUGCAAGCGCUACUCGGAAUCACUGGGCGUAAAGGACGCGUAGGCGGGUCGGAAAGUCAGGUGUGAAAUCCUACAGCUUAACUGUAGAACUGCACUUGAAACUUCUAAUCUAGAGUAUGGGAGGGGGAGAUGGAAUUAGUGGUGUAGGGGUAAAAUCCGUAGAUAUCACUAGGAAUACCUAAAGCGAAGGCGAUCUCCUGGAACAUUACUGACGCUAAGGCGUGAAAGCGUGGGGAGCAAACAGGAUUAGAUACCCUGGUAGUC
RNAcentral lists this ribosomal RNA (439 nucleotides) under uncultured bacterium. RNAcentral's name for it is "partial 16S ribosomal RNA". It matches the Rfam family "Bacterial small subunit ribosomal RNA", at positions 339 to 795 of the family's 1533-position model. The record is from RNAcentral.